This 253-nucleotide ribosomal RNA is filed under the name uncultured bacterium. RNAcentral describes it as "partial 16S ribosomal RNA". It matches the Rfam family "Bacterial small subunit ribosomal RNA", at positions 524 to 776 of the family's 1533-position model. The record is from RNAcentral.
UACGAACCGGACGAACGUUAUUCGGAAUUACUGGGCUUAAAGGGUGCGUAGGCGGCGCGGUAAGUGAGGUGUGAAAGCCCACGGCUCAACCGUGGAACUGCGCUUCAUACUGCCGUGCUUGAGGGAGACAGAGGUAAGCGGAACUGAUGGUGGAGCGGUGAAAUGCGUUGAUAUCAUCAGGAACACCGGUGGCGAAAGCGGCUUACUGGGUCUCUUCUGACGCUGAGGCACGAAAGCUAGGGUAGCGAACGGG